AAGACUAUACUUUCAGGGAUCAUUUCUAUAGUUUCUAACUGGAGAAAUGUGUUUCUAAAGUGUUUGGUCUCGCCAACCAUGAUGAUGAGUUGUGAUAUUUCUUUCUGAGCGUGAAGCGGACAGAGAGUAAUGAUUCGUUUCAUAUGUUCUCUGUCAUUGAUGAUUGUUCUUUACUUCUUUGUGGAGUAUUGAGGAAGGGAAUAUGAUCAGAGUGGUU
Molecule: small nucleolar RNA, 217 nt
Organism: Larimichthys crocea (large yellow croaker)
Lineage: Eukaryota; Metazoa; Chordata; Actinopteri; Sciaenidae
Source: Ensembl